Molecule: long non-coding RNA, 2103 nt
Organism: Cryptotermes secundus
Lineage: Eukaryota; Metazoa; Arthropoda; Insecta; Blattodea; Kalotermitidae
Exons: 2
Source: RefSeq, a predicted model, not a curated record
AUAAGAAAAACCGCAAGCCAAGAGACAGUGAGAACAGGUGCAAGCAGACUAAUGUUGGAAAUAAACUCAGCUAUAUAAAAGCAGGGAGGAAGGGACAAGUCUACAUGGGAAAUCAGUGCAGAGGGAGAGAAGAACGGUCUGGGACAGGAGCAAGGUUAGAGCAGGUAUGGGAUAUUGUGUCGGGUGUGAAAGGCAAGGUUAAUGGGAGGGCAUUAACCCUAUUAUUAACCUAUUAUUGCUGCUCCUCUUUGUCCCCCCUCGCCUUCCUUUUCUUCUUAACCAUCCUUUCUCCUCUCCUGCCAGACCAGCACCCAUUCAGGUUCUAGCCCUCCUGGUGUCAGGAUGAGGUGACCAUGUGAAAAUUUUACUUAGGCCUUAUUCCAAAUUCCCUUUGAUUUAACUGUUCAGUAAGUCACCUCAAUUUCUCUGUUGAAUAUUUCUGGAACAGCAAAUCCCUGACAGGAUCUGAAUGCACAUCUAAGCUAUAUAAUUUUCAAGUUGCAUUGCACUUCCUUAUUUAAACACUGCUUUAUUAUUAAGUAUUCUGUGUGUGUGUGUGUAUAUAUAUAUAUAAUGUACAGAUUUUCAUGAAUGAAUAAUGAGCAAGUAAAUAACCUCUUAUUUUACAGUCCAAAUACCUUACAACCACUGAUUUAAAUUAUAUACCUUUUAGUUGUGCCUGCUGUUAUGAGCACAAUCUACUGCACAAAGUAAACAACAGGAGACAAAUUAACAUACUUGCAAUACAAAAAUAUUAAUUUUAGAUCGAUAAACUAAAUCAGGUAUUUUGUAAUACAGGGAACAAACUAAUAUAAAACAGAAUAAACAUAUCAAAAUGUACAGAAAGUAUAUUUUUUUUUACAUACAGCUGAUGCUAUUACAUUACAAUGAACAAGUUUUAUUAUAUAGAAUCAAUCUUCAACAUGACUCUGAUGGCGCAAAUCAGUAUUUUGUCUUUAAAUAUAUAUAAUAACUGAUCAGUGAAAUUUCUGUAAACAUCACUAAAUGACCUUAUUUAAUAUUUAGGCUGAUGGCCAAUAUAACCAAGUAUACCAUUACAAAAUCUGAAAAACUUCAUUAUGAAGUUAUGUAUUCUUUUUAUUCUUGGGAUAUGGUGAUACACAGUCCCUUGGUACUUAGGCUUUAAAUGGCCCACUGUACCAGCCCAGAUGACAGAUGAGAGAUAUGGAGCAUUCGGAAGAAUGAGAAUUUGCAAGGAAAAUCAAAGUACUUACAGAAAACCUGCCCCAGUGUCAUUUUGUCCACCACAAAUCCCACAUGAAAUGACUGGGAUUAAGAGUGACUGCCACAGUGAGCUGGAAACUAACCACCUGAGCUAUGGUAAGGCCAAAUUAUAUAACUUUCAUAUAUAAAAGCACAGUAAAUAUGUUUUACAAGGAAAUAUAUUUUGAAACAUAACCAUAUAUAUAUUUGAUGCUUUGUAAAUCUUUAAAAUGAAUCUGCCAAUCACCAAAAUUAUAUUUCAUGCAUGUAUUAAAACUGGAGACACUGAACAACUUUUCAUACAUGUGAUUUUAUAAAUUUUUGCACAACAGUAAACAAUUUAGCUUAUGUACUUCUGUAAGGAGCUCUGGAAACGGUCCGCUCCGUAGAGAGUGCAUCGAGGAUGGUACCGAAAGUCGACGGUAACGAUGAAUCCAGAACAGAAAGAAGACAAAGGGUGCAUGUUUUUUCACUGGUGCAGGAGAAAGAAAACACAGAAGAAGAUAACUGAUCCAGUUCCAGAUGAUUCGUUACCAACAGAGAAUCAGCAAGAGAGAUCAUCCAUUCUGAUGCCCCAGUUUCACGUGAUAGUAUCCAGGGGGGGGGGACAUGAGAUGUGCACAGGUGACUGAUUCCAAGCUUGAGUGAUCAAAGCUAGUAACUGGGACUUCAGGAGUAAAAGGUAUGCUGGAUGUCAUUGCUUUGUGCACAUUCUGCCAGCAUUUUACAGCAAAGUUCCCCCCAAAGUGGACUGCUGGAGAGAGAAACCUAAAAUUUGUGGUGAAUGCAAGAAGGUUCUGAUAACAGGCAAUACGUUAACAACAAGGAAUCAUCAAGUCCGCUUCCCUUCUCUGAUGCCGCCCAGGCAUGGGAAAGGAG